AGUCCAGAGAAGUCCUGAAUUUUUCUCAUCUAUACAGACGCUCGCUUUAAAUACAUGAGGUUUAUUUUGAUUGCUUUACUUCUCAUCUUGAUACGAGCUGGUUGCUGUGGUUUUCUGUGUUCGAAGUCUUCAUGGAGGUUGAAGACGGUUCGAUUAUCUUUCCAAUGAGCUAUAGAAUGCCCUAAUCGGACUUCAUUUAAUAUGGUUUUUGUCUGUCCAAAGUCUGGUCCAGAAUCUGCCAAAUAUUUGUUUCUCUGUUUCGCAUGACCUUCUGUGUAAAUCACUUGAUAUGAACUGGUAGAUGAUGUUAUUAGGACUUAAUGUCUUCUAGAUAAUUGUAAUAGGCAUCUCAAGCUUUAAAAUGACAUAUUGCAUGCCUGAAU
This 383-nucleotide long non-coding RNA is filed under the name Eucalyptus grandis. RNAcentral's name for it is "long non-coding RNA (EGRA_LNC007018)". Lineage: Eukaryota; Viridiplantae; Streptophyta; Magnoliopsida; Myrtales; Myrtaceae. The record is from RNAcentral.